Small nucleolar RNA from Ochotona princeps (American pika), 150 nucleotides. The record is from Ensembl. Lineage: Eukaryota; Metazoa; Chordata; Mammalia; Lagomorpha; Ochotonidae.
UGCUAUGGCUGUUCUUCUCAUUGCUUGAAGCCUUGGGCAACGGGAUUUUGGUCCAUCAUAUAGCAAAGCUGGCUUGUCUUCACUUAGGGCACCAUGGCAUGGGCUUGGCUAACCAUUAGCACCUUCUGAUUUUUACAGAGUCAAACAAUC